RNAcentral lists this transfer RNA (76 nucleotides) under Bacillota bacterium. Its description in RNAcentral is "tRNA-Arg". It matches the Rfam family "tRNA". From Rfam's summary of the family: Transfer RNA (tRNA) molecules are approximately 80 nucleotides in length. The record is from RNAcentral. Lineage: Bacteria; Bacillati; Bacillota. RNAcentral also lists the same sequence under 2 other names.
GCGGUUGUAACUCAGUGGAUAGAGUAUCUCACUCCUAAGGAGAAAGUCGGACGUUCGAAUCGUCUCAACCGCGCCA